Molecule: long non-coding RNA, 391 nt
Filed under: Androctonus crassicauda
Lineage: Eukaryota; Metazoa; Arthropoda; Arachnida; Scorpiones; Buthidae
Source: RNAcentral
UUUGUCUUGGCUUCGAUCGCAGCAACCUUUCGCAGUUCAAUAAAUUCGCUCGUAUCUCUCAUCUUUUCAAUGGGGGCCCCCUGACCGAGGACACGCGACGCCAGCGAAAAAAAGAAAUCUGUCGGGGAUGGAUCGAAUUAGGAAUUGGUAUCCGAACGCUAUGCAGAUGUCUCCAGCGGAGCCAAUCGAUGGCAAACCGCACGUCUCGACCUGCCGUGGGACAUUUCCGCGAGAGUCACGGAGAAAGGAUGCCCCACCUUCCAGCUGGGGACACAAUAGAGACGCGAGAGGAAGCGGGUUUUGUCCGGCUCUUUUCACACCCCGCCUGAAUGCGUGACAGUUGACGAACGAGGCCCACCGGGAGCUUUUCCCGUUCGGCCAUCGACACGGU